Molecule: ribosomal RNA, 180 nt
Filed under: uncultured bacterium
Lineage: Bacteria
Description: partial 16S ribosomal RNA
Rfam family: Bacterial small subunit ribosomal RNA
Source: RNAcentral
CAUGAAGUCGGAAUUGCAGUAAUGGCAGGUCAGCAUACUGCCGUGAAUACGUUCCCGGGCCUUGUACACACCGCCCGUCACACCAUGAGAGUUGGAGAUACCCGAAGCCUAUGAGCUAACUUUUAGAGGCAGUAGUCGAAGGUAGAAUCAAUGAUUGGGGUGAAGUCGUAACAAGGUAGC